AUUGAACGCUGGCGGCAGGCCUAACACAUGCAAGUCGAACGGUAACAGGAAGAAGCUUGCUUCUUUGCUGACGAGUGGCGGACGGGUGAGUAAUGUCUGGGAAACUGCCUGAUGGAGGGGGAUAACUACUGGAAACGGUAGCUAAUACCGCAUAACGUCGCAAGACCAAAGAGGGGGACCUUCGGGCCUCUUGCCAUCGGAUGUGCCCAGAUGGGAUUAGCUAGUAGGUGGGGUAACGGCUCACCUAGGCGACGAUCCCUAGCUGGUCUGAGAGGAUGACCAGCCACACUGGAACUGAGACACGGUCCAGACUCCUACGGGAGGCAGCAGUGGGGAAUAUUGCACAAAGGGCGCAAGCCUGAUGCAGCCAUGCCGCGGGUAUGAAGAAGGCCUUCGGGUUGUAAAGUACUUUCAGCGGGGAGGAAGGGAGUAAAGUUAAUACCUUUGCUCAUUGACGUUACCCGCAGAAGAAGCACCGGCUAACUCCGUG
Molecule: ribosomal RNA, 490 nt
Filed under: uncultured bacterium
Lineage: Bacteria
Description: partial 16S ribosomal RNA
Rfam family: Bacterial small subunit ribosomal RNA
Source: RNAcentral